Molecule: long non-coding RNA, 733 nt
Organism: Zalophus californianus (California sea lion)
Lineage: Eukaryota; Metazoa; Chordata; Mammalia; Carnivora; Otariidae
Exons: 3
Source: RefSeq, a predicted model, not a curated record
GACACCACUGCACAUUGAUGAUCACUCUAAUUUUACCCACCUCAACUAUGCUCAUAAGUUUCCCAGAAUAAAAGGAGGACCUCUACACACCAAUUGCACACACAAGAACUCUUUCAGGUGGGCCCAGCAGCUCCAGAAACUGGAAACAACUCCAACAACUUCAUCUCUAGAUGAUGAUGUGCCAGGGAUUCCAAACCCAUCUCCCAUGAAGAUGAAACCAGCUAACACCCCCUGGAACAAUCCACAGCUUCCUUCUACUCCCCACUGUCCAUCCAGUUUUCCUAAAACUUGGAUAGCAAGGACUUCUGGAGCCGUCAGUCAGGAUCAAUGUCCUAUACCAGCAUGAAGUAGUUACAGAAGGGCUGUCACCCAUUUUCCCUUAAGAGAUUGUAAGGGCCCAGAGUCCUUCGGGGGGAAUGUUAGAGUAGGCAGUCAGUUAGGCUUUACCAGGAUGCCUGGAGGCCAGCAAAGGGUAAGUCAAGGCCCAUUAUCAGAAAAGUUAGAAACCCAUCCUGGUAGCAUUCCACAAACAAAGCCACAAGAAGCCAGAUCAAACCAGACAGGACCAAGAUAAAGAAGGCCAGAGACCCUGACCAAGCAAGGGAGAAAAGAAAUUGCCACAGCUACCUGAACCUUCAGUAACUACCACCCUGAUCAGUCAGCAGCCAUCAACGUCAAGGAAAGAUCCUCCACCAGCAAAAAGAUUCCACUCGAAGUUCAGAUGAUAAAUAGC